Long non-coding RNA from Sarcophilus harrisii (Tasmanian devil), 1093 nucleotides. RefSeq lists it as uncharacterized. Lineage: Eukaryota; Metazoa; Chordata; Mammalia; Dasyuromorphia; Dasyuridae. The transcript has 3 exons. The record is from RefSeq and is a predicted model, not a curated record.
UUUUCCACAAAACAUCAGAAAUGCCCUCAAUUUCCUGCAUCACAUUUAAGGAUGUGAAAGAUUUAGCCACGUUACUGUGAGUCUCCCUUCCAUCCCCACCGGAGCUGUCAGACGCCGGCACGAAUGUUUCUAUAUGUUCAUCAAUCAGACUGCGGCCUUGCUCCCCAGAGAACAGGGACAUGACAAAUUAGCUCGGCGCCUUUAAGGGGAAAUGGAGAAUUUGAAAAAUGACAUCCCCUCUUCCUAACUCACACUAUGGAGCGGCCCCUCCUCCGGUCCCUGCCUUCCAUCAAUCACACCUGCUCCGGUUCUCAGGCAGACCCACCUUGUUCCAUCGGAACGAUCAGACUCAAAUUGCUCAGGCUUUUCUAAGUCGUCCUGUCUUAUUCUCCAUGUCCCCAUUUGGGAGGAAUCACAGACGCAUAUGUCUACUCCUCCCAUUUUAUGAAAUGGAAACAGAUUUAGAGACGUGAUGAACGGACUUCUUGGAGAUCCCACAGGCAAUAUUGAGAUAGAACAUAUCCAUGGCAAGAUGCCAGAGCUACUGAACCAUUUUUAAAGCUUUUUCUUCCUGGCAGCAAAUCAUGGCAUGUUGGAGGAACUGGGGUCAGUUACUUGGAUCUGAUUUGUGGAACCUAGAUAGUGGAUAUAUGGUAUUUUGAGCAAAGGUCAGCAUGAGGCAGAUGGCAGCUUUCCCAGGACAAGAAGCCUAUGAGCACAAACAGAAAUGGACUUUGGAACCCAACCUCAUUCAAGCCACAAGUGUUUAUGCAACUUUACUCUGUUCCAGGCACCAGGCUGGGUGCCUGCACAACAAAACUAAAGUAGCCCCUGCCCUCACGGAGCUUCUUUUCUCCUGUCCUAACAGGACAGAGCUUGGACAAAGUGAGAAUGAACUUGUCUGUGGGAAAUAGCUUCAGAGAGGGAAUCUUGCCUCCUAGUUCUGUUACUAUCACUCAAUGAAAAUGCAUCCAAGUGUUUAUCAUUUGCCAAGGACCAUGGUAAGGGACAGGAAGAAAAAAAUUAAACUGUUGCUGCCCUCAAGGUGUUUAUAUUCUAUGGGAAGCCAUGAAAAUACACAAAAUCAAUGUUU